CAACACUUUGCCUAAACAUCUCCUUGGGUUUCCCACCUAACCUGAGAAGAUAUUGCCCAAUUCAAAGAAGAAAUAACAAAAUAUUGACUCCAAUAUCCUUCAAGAAUGAAAAUACAUUUAAAUACAAACAAUACAAGGGAACAGGAAAUCUCAUGCUGCUGAAAUAGUGAUUACAAUGGAAGAAUUCCUUAAACAACCCUUCAGAAACACUCAAGUACAAAAGGAUCCAUCUUUCACAUAGUUAGUAUUCUGGUCUUGACCAAGGACAAAUAAAGACCAGAGCCUAUUACCAACUGCUCCGUUAAAAGCUGAGUCCUUCUCUUUCAUUUUGCUUGUCACAGUGCAG
RNAcentral lists this long non-coding RNA (346 nucleotides) under Homo sapiens (human). Its description in RNAcentral is "HSALNT0202550". Lineage: Eukaryota; Metazoa; Chordata; Mammalia; Primates; Hominidae. The record is from RNAcentral.